Molecule: ribosomal RNA, 775 nt
Filed under: uncultured Neocallimastigales
Lineage: Eukaryota; Fungi; Neocallimastigomycota; Neocallimastigomycetes; Neocallimastigales
Description: partial large subunit ribosomal RNA
Rfam family: Eukaryotic large subunit ribosomal RNA
Source: RNAcentral
AGAGAGAGACAUGCGCGCAUAUCAAUAAGCGGAGGAAAAGAAACUAACUAGGAUUCCCCUUAGUAACGGCGAGUGAAGCGGGAAGAGCUCAAAUUUGAAAUCUUCAAGGUUUUACCUUGACGAAUUGUAGUUUAAAGAAGUGUUUUCUGUUGAAGUUUUGGUAAAAGUUCUUUGGAAUAGGACAUCAUAGAGGGUGAGAAUCCCGUAUUUGACCUUUACUUUCAACUUUGUGAUACACUUUCAAAGAGUCGGAUUGUUUGGGAAUGCAGUCCAAAAUGGGUGGUAAAUUUCAUCUAAAGCUAAAUAUUGGCGAGAGACCGAUAGCGAACAAGUACCGUGAGGGAAAGAUGAAAAGAACUUUGAAAAGAGAGUUAAACAGUACGUGAAAUUGUCAAAAGGGAAGCGUUUGACACCAGUGUUGUUUUUCUGAAAAUCAAUUAAAGAACUGUUUAUGCUAAGUUGUUUAGACUUUAUCAGCUAACUGUUUAGUUUUGAGCUUUUCUUUAAUGCACUUUUCAGUUAACAAGUCAACAUCAAUUUCUUUUGCUGUAAAAAAGCUUGAGGAAGGUGGCUUGAGAUUCGUCUUAAGUGUUUAUAGCCUCUUGCCUAUGCAGUCGGAGAGAUUGAGGUCUGCAGCGUAGAUCCUUCGGGGCUAAAUGCAUUUGUGCUAAGUUAUAGCAUUUUAUAGACAACUUGUUGACUAUGAUUUGUCUUGUAGCUUACUCGCUUAUGUUAUUUUACCUACGCUUAGGAUGUUGAUGUGAUACUGCGAGCA